RNAcentral lists this ribosomal RNA (458 nucleotides) under uncultured bacterium. RNAcentral's name for it is "partial 16S ribosomal RNA". It matches the Rfam family "Bacterial small subunit ribosomal RNA", at positions 29 to 507 of the family's 1533-position model. The record is from RNAcentral.
AAUGAACGCUGGCGGCAUGCCUAACACAUGCAAGUCGAACGGGACCACCGGAACAGGUUGCGCUUACGGGCGGCGAGCGGGGGAACGGGCAGGUAUACACCGGAUACCUCCUUGUCGUGGGGGCUAACGCCGGGAAACUUACGCUAAUACCGGAUUCAUCCCCCGUGGGUAAGCCCGGGAUGGAUGAGCUAGGUGGGGGGGUAAGAGCCUAUGAAGGCGACGAUCCGUAGCUGGGCUGAGGGGCUGAUCAGCCACACUGGGACUGAGACACGGUCCAGACUCCUACGGGAGGCAGCAGUGGGGAAUAUUGGACAAUGGGCGCAAGCCUGAUCCAGCCAUACCGCGUGGGUGAAGAAGGCCUUCGGGUUGUAAAGCCCUUUUGUUGGGAAAGAAAAGCAGCAGGUUAAUACCCCGCUGUUCUGACGGUACCCAAAGAAUAAGCACCGGCUAACUUCGUG